RNAcentral lists this non-coding RNA (77 nucleotides) under uncultured Fragilariaceae. The record is from RNAcentral. Lineage: Eukaryota; Bacillariophyta; Fragilariophyceae; Fragilariales; Fragilariaceae.
UCGUCUAUUUUCUAAGAAAGAAAAAAAUCUUUCAAAUAUUGGUAGUCACUUGCUUUAUUUUGUUCACGUGUGGAUCC